Molecule: long non-coding RNA, 262 nt
Filed under: Malus domestica (apple)
Lineage: Eukaryota; Viridiplantae; Streptophyta; Magnoliopsida; Rosales; Rosaceae
Description: long non-coding RNA (MDOM_LNC014094)
Source: RNAcentral
AGCCGCCCACUAAUCAUUGUAUAAGAUUUGAAAAUCAAUAGACCAAAAUCCUUUCUAAUUAUAUGAUGAGAGUUAAAGGGAUUGCAGGUCCUGACCUCUUUGUAAAUCUUAUCAUCACAUGAAUUGCCAUGAUAUCUUUGUUGGAGCAAUAUUAGAGAAUAUAAAAAUAACACAAAAAUCUAAUAACAAUAAUUAUAAAGAAAUUCACAACAUCAAUUGUGUACAAAUUAAUAUAAAUAACGUAUAGAGAAAGUAAGAAGAC